Molecule: ribosomal RNA, 120 nt
Organism: Penicillium oxalicum 114-2
Lineage: Eukaryota; Fungi; Ascomycota; Eurotiomycetes; Eurotiales; Aspergillaceae
Source: Rfam
ACAUACGACCAUAGGGUGUGGAGAACAGGGCUUCCCGUCCGCUCAGCCGUACUUAAGCCACACGCCGGUCAGUUAGUAGUAUGGUGGGUGACCACAUGCGAAUCCUGACUGUUGUAUGUU